CAAACCUCUCUUCCGUCAUCUUUUCGGACUGGGCCGUACUUUUUCAAGGGCGAAGUCCAAUAUUUAUGAAGCCCACUAGGACUACUCUCCUCCUGCGUUUCCCCUACUCUGUUCAAAUUCACCGAAAUCCUCAGCCUACAGUUCCAGCACAACCUGCAACAAUGGAGGUUUCUCGAGCCCUUUUUCUGAUGUUAACACCGGUUGCUGAUACCGUCAUCACGCGUCUUGUGCGAUUCUGGAAAGCCCGAGACGUUAACAAAAGAGGGGAACUGAUGGGAGUGGACACGCUCCUUCUUGAUGAAAAGGCGACGCUUAUCCAAGUGUACAUGGCUUAAUAUUUCCCGUCAUCUGCUGAGAGAAGGUGCAACUUACGAGAUCAGCCGGUUUGAUGUUAUAAGUAGCAACACCGAAUACAAGCAGGACCGGUCUACAACUGUUAGUGCAAGUGUUUAUAACGCACAAGCCGGCCAGCUAAAAGAAAAGUUCUUGGCAGUGGGUGUGCCGAAGGUCAUCGUCGCUACCAGCAUUAACCCCAAGUUCGUAUGAGUUACAUGGAGUCUUUCUGUGGAUGCUAAUCCUAGGACACGUUCCUACUUUGACAUCGAAACAAGAGCCAGUGAGACCUUUGUUGGCAGCAGGGACCAUGCAUCAUCUGACCCUGGAGAUGCUUGAGGCUGGGCUGCUGGGGAAGAAGCUUUAUGAAGCAAAAGUGUUGGUGAAGUCAUGGUUGAACUUUAAGGAGUUGCACGAGUUAAAGCGUGUCUGUGAUGAUGACCCUACCAUUACUCCCUCCUAUUUUUGUUGGAAAUAAGAUAAGUAUGAAUCUGGAUGGAGGAAGUUUCUAUAGAUGAUCCAGGAGUUCAGAAUGUUUGCUGAUCAUGCAUAGUUGCAUACUAACGCUAAGGUAUGUCUUCAAAUAUUGUCAAACACAUGAAGGGCUAAGCAAAUGAGAGCUUUGAGAAUUCAAAUCCAAACCGAUAAUUUGUUACGUUCACAGAUUAAAUGGAACAGACAGCUAACAUGUAUUUCUUUUAUAGUCAGUGCUUGUGUAGUGUUAUUAAUGGUUCUCUCCUGUUUGAAUGCACGUACUGGCUUUGAUUGUUUAUGUUGCCUUUGAGUUAUCUUCCCUUGAUGAGUCAUUAUUGUGCUUCAGUGUCAAUAUAUGUCGUUUGGGGAUGACUUCUACUUUUUUUUCCAUCUUUUUCAUUUCCAUUCACGUUCUUAGACCUUACUGUGUCUAAUUAAUGAACUUCUUACUGGGUAGUCUUUUCUAGACUUUAAGCUAAUGGUGUAUCUCAUGUGUAUUUGUGUUUCUGAAAUUGGGAUGUAUUCCUUUAUCGAGUUUUU
Molecule: long non-coding RNA, 1347 nt
Organism: Brassica oleracea var. oleracea
Lineage: Eukaryota; Viridiplantae; Streptophyta; Magnoliopsida; Brassicales; Brassicaceae
Exons: 7
Source: RefSeq, a predicted model, not a curated record